This 351-nucleotide transfer-messenger RNA is filed under the name bovine gut metagenome. It matches the Rfam family "transfer-messenger RNA". Rfam says of the family: Bacterial tmRNA, also known as 10Sa RNA or SsrA, is named for its dual tRNA and mRNA-like properties. Its role is to liberate the mRNA from a stalled ribosome. The record is from RNAcentral.
GGGGAUGUAAAGGUUUCGACGGGGAGCCGGAAUCCGGAUAAGCGGGCAGAGGUGCGGUACCUCUAUAAAAGCCGUAGUUUUAAAUAUAAACGCUAACACUAAUAAAGUAGCUCUCGCUGCCUGAGUGCGCGAGCGUCCCUUCACGGAGGACCACGGCCGUGAUGCGGGCGUGACACAGUGGUAAAUGUGCGCCGCCUGUUUUCUUUUGAAGCGGCCAUAAAGAAAAAAGAUACCCAAGUCAAAAGCCUGCGCGCCGGCGCUUGACGAGGGGAAAUUCAGUUGACGCGAUACGCCCGUAGAAAGUCCCGAGGAUGACUUUUCGGACAGGGGUUCGAUUCCCCUCAUCUCCAU